This 406-nucleotide ribosomal RNA is filed under the name uncultured bacterium. RNAcentral's name for it is "partial 16S ribosomal RNA". It matches the Rfam family "Bacterial small subunit ribosomal RNA", at positions 29 to 526 of the family's 1533-position model. The record is from RNAcentral.
AUUGAACGCUGGCGGCAGGCCUAACACAUGCAAGUCGAGCGAGCGGCGGACGGGUGAGUAAGGGCUGGGAAACUGCCUGAUGGCGGGGCAUAACUACUGGAAACGGUUGCUAAUACCGCAUACAAGCAGAUGUGCGCAGAUGGGAUUAGCUAGUAGGGUGGGUAACGGCUCACCUAGGCGACGAUCCCUAGCUGGUCUGAGAGGAUGACCAGCCACACUGGAACUGAGACACGGUCCAGACUCCUACGGGAGGCAGCAGUGGGGAAUAUUGCACAAUGGGCGCAAGCCUGAUGCAGCCAUGCCGCGUGUGUGAAGAAGGCCUUCGGGUUGUAAAGCACUUUCAGCGGGGAGGCGUUACCCGCAGAAGAAGCACCGGCUAACUCCGUGCCAGCAGCCGCGGUAAUUC